This 254-nucleotide ribosomal RNA is filed under the name uncultured bacterium. RNAcentral describes it as "partial 16S ribosomal RNA". It matches the Rfam family "Bacterial small subunit ribosomal RNA", at positions 524 to 776 of the family's 1533-position model. The record is from RNAcentral.
UACGGAGGGAGCUAGCGUUAUUCGGAAUUACUGGGCGUAAAGCGCACGUAGGCGGCUUUGCAAGUUAGAGGUGAAAGCCCGGGGCUCAACUCCGGAAUUGCCUUUAAAACUGCAUCGCUAGAAUUGUGGAGAGGUAAGUGGAAUUCCGAGUGUAGAGGUGAAAUUCGUAGAUAUUACGGAAGAACACCAGUGGCGAAGGCGACUUACUGGACACAUAUUGACGCUGAGGUGCGAAAGCGUGGGGAGCAAACAGG